UCUCUCUCUCUCUCUCUCCUCGACUCUCCCUUGGAAGUCCUCUUUCUUCGUCUUCAUCCUUCGACGAACCACUCGUCGCUUUUGUUUCUCUGGCUUCCGGCGACGACGGUCAAGACGACUACGGCUAUGGACGAAACCAUUAGUUCUGGUGAUGAUGCUCGAGCUCUAACUGACCGGAUAGCUUCUCGGUCUCACCAACCUCACCUACUGCUAGCCGCUCGAUCUCCAGACAUUCGUCAUUCCCGACGCCAAGCUUAAUCUAGCUCUAAUCGGCGACUCGUUCGUAAUUUCAAUCUCAUAUCCUUUUAGUUUCUACACUUUUUCUCUUUCAAUUUAUUUAUUUUCUUCAUAGCGAUAGGUCAUUACUGGAUUCCAGAGUUUUUCAUUUUGCUUGUACUCGGUUAUGGAAAUUGUUACGAUUUUGGUUAAGCAUUUGCAAAAUUGAACACAUUGAUUUACUGGAACUGCUUGAUUUUGAUGUUUUGGUGGCCUUAUCUCAACGAAGCUCCGCACAACGAUCCGAUUGGCUUUUCUCCGCCGAAUAGAGGUAGUCCCGGUUACACUCGCUGGUCUAAUCCUUCUAGAGCUUUGUGGCUGCUCUGAAGAUGGAAGGAGGCUAGCACUCCAAGAUGCAUUGCUCUUCCGUUCACCAAAGAAUUCUUCCCUUUUGCAUUUGUAGUAGUAGAUUUCAAAAAUCAUGUGAAUUUGGGUAGUGAAGCUUCCAUUGACCAAGAUAUCAUCUGGCCAACCAAAUAAUGUUGAACUGAAGUCUGGUGCUGAAGGUGGCAAAAUAUUGCCUCUAUGGUUAGUGUAGUGUGGUAGAGCUUGACAAUAAGAAACAUCAAUGGUGGUCAUCUAAAAACUGACAGUAGCAUUACAACAUUGACAAUAGCUUUAUACAAUCAUUGUAUUAGAUUUUCACAACUAUGGUAGUGGCUUUUUACAACUAUGGACGUAGCUUUUCAUAGUUAUAUCAUUGUUGAAUCCUGCAUACUUUUUGUAUCAUUGAAUAUGUUUUCUUGUCUCAA
This is a long non-coding RNA of Rosa rugosa (rugosa rose), 1028 nucleotides long. RefSeq lists it as uncharacterized. The transcript is spliced from 3 exons. Lineage: Eukaryota; Viridiplantae; Streptophyta; Magnoliopsida; Rosales; Rosaceae. The record is from RefSeq and is a predicted model, not a curated record.